AUUGGCACAUGCAGAUAUGGUGGCUGAGAAGUUCCACAAUCAGUUGUCUGCAACAGCAGGUGUUUCCGUUUUUGCUUCUUCCUCAUUUUUCUCUUGCCACCGCCAUGUUAGAAGUGCCUUUCGCCUCCUGCCAUGAUUCUGAGGCCUCCCCUGCCAUGUGGAACUGUAAGUCCAAUUAAACCUCUUUUUCUUCCCAGUCUCAGGUAUGUCUUUAUCAGCAGUGUGAAAACAUACUAAUAUAGCAGGAAAGCCAGCCCAGGUGGAGAUCCAGCCCAAACCUGAAGGCCAGAGACCCAGGGGAGCCAAUGGCGACAAUCUCCAUCUGAGCCAGAAGGCCUAACAAUAGGGAGUACCAGUGUCUGAGGACAGGAGGAGAUGGAUGUCCUGGCUCCAGCGGAGAGAGAUGCCAUUCCAAGAAAACCAUGGAAGCAGAAAAGAGGAAAGCAGAAACACAGAUGAAGCAAGAGGCUAUGUCCUCUGUGCAUGGAGACAGCAGAUCUAUUAGUAGACAGGAUGAAGAGAAAAGGUGUGAAGAAAAGCCACAUGGCUGAUGUGACAAGGAAGAAAGUGGGUCUCUCAGCUCUUCCCUUCUUGUUUUUGCCCUUUUCCCAGUACCAAGAAAUGUAUUUUUGGGGGCCACAUUCUUCCCACCAUAAUUUAGAAGGAUGCUGUUGCCAGGUUUGAAGACCACUUGAAACAAUAAUUGUUGUUAUUCUGCUAUACUCACCAAGAAUGACAAAACUAUUUACAUACUGGGGAUAGCGUGCUAGAAAAAUUGCUAAACAAAUAGUAUUUUUUCCUUCCAUAAAAUCAGAGUUGUAAAGAGCAAUAUAUUAGGCAUUUUCUUUGCCAGAGAACUUUAGCUAUGAUUUUCUGCUUCUUUAAAAUUCAUAUUAAUGAUCGUAGAUACCAGGUAUCUAAGGGAAAGACUCUUUGCAACAUCUUCUAUAUAUACCCUGGGUGUUUCUGUAUUGAAUUUACUUAAGAUUUAGGCUCUACAGUUUGAUCUCAAUCAUGUAAAAAUAUAUAGCAAGAAGGCUCCUGGGACAAAAACUGAAAUGUUUAUUAUUAAUUUUCUCUGGGCAUUGAAAUUCUGGAUGAUUUUAUUUUUUCAUACUUCUUUCUAUUUUCCAUAUAUUUUACAAUCUGUAUUCAUAGCUUCAAAAAUAAAAUAGUUGCUGUGAAUAAUCACUCUAUGUAAG
This 1202-nucleotide long non-coding RNA is filed under the name Homo sapiens (human). RNAcentral describes it as "HSALNT0193741". Lineage: Eukaryota; Metazoa; Chordata; Mammalia; Primates; Hominidae. The record is from RNAcentral.